GAUGAACGCUGGCGGCGUGCCUAAUACAUGCAAGUCGAGCGAACAGACGAGGAGCUUGCUCCUUCGACGUUAGCGGCUGACGGGUGAGUAACACGUAGGUAACCUACCUAUAAGACUGGGAUAACUUCGGGAAACCGGAGCUAAUACCGGAUAAUAUUUCGAACCGCAUGGUUCGAUAGUGAAAGAUGGCUUUGCUAUCACUUAUAGAUGGACCUGCGCCGUAUUAGCUAGUUGGUAAGGUAACGGCUUACCAAGGCAACGAUACGUAGCCGACCUGAGAGGGUGAUCGGCCACACUGGAACUGAGACACGGUCCAGACUCCUACGGGAGGCAGCAGUAGGGAAUCUUCCGCAAUGGGCGAAAGCCUGACGGAGCAACGCCGCGUGAGUGAUGAAGGUCUUCGGAUCGUAAAACUCUGUUAUUAGGGAAGAACAAACGUGUAAGUAACUGUGCACGUCUUGACGGUACCUAAUCAGAAAGCCACGGCUAACUACGUG
RNAcentral lists this ribosomal RNA (497 nucleotides) under uncultured bacterium. RNAcentral describes it as "partial 16S ribosomal RNA". It matches the Rfam family "Bacterial small subunit ribosomal RNA", at positions 28 to 507 of the family's 1533-position model. The record is from RNAcentral.